UGAACGCUGGCGGCGUGCCUACUACAUGCACGUCGAGCGACCAGACGCGGAGCUUGCUCCUCUGACGUUAGCGGCGGACGGGUGAGUAACACGUGGAUAACCUACCUAUAAGACUGGGAUAACUUCGGGAAACCGGAGCUAAUACCGGAUAAUAUAUUGAACCGCAUGGUUCAAUAGUGAAAGACGGUUUUGCUGUCACUUAUAGAUGGAUCCGCGCCGCAUUAGCUAGUUGGUAAGGUAACGGCUUACCAAGGCAACGAUGCGUAGCCGACCUGAGAGGGUGAUCGGCCACACUGGAACUGAGACACGGUCCAGACUCCUACGGGAGGCAGCAGUAGGGAAUCUUCCGCAAUGGGCGAAAGCCUGACGGAGCAACGCCGCGUGAGUGAUGAAGGUCUUCGGAUCGUAAAACUCUGUUAUUAGGGAAGAACAAAUGUGUAAGUAACUAUGCACGUCUUGACGGUACCUAAUCAGAAAGCCACGGCUAACUACGUG
RNAcentral lists this ribosomal RNA (495 nucleotides) under uncultured bacterium. Its description in RNAcentral is "partial 16S ribosomal RNA". It matches the Rfam family "Bacterial small subunit ribosomal RNA", at positions 30 to 507 of the family's 1533-position model. The record is from RNAcentral.